Molecule: ribosomal RNA, 253 nt
Filed under: uncultured bacterium
Lineage: Bacteria
Description: partial 16S ribosomal RNA
Rfam family: Bacterial small subunit ribosomal RNA
Source: RNAcentral
UACGGAGGGUGCAAGCGUUAAUCGGAAUUACUGGGCGUAAAGCGCGCGUAGGCGGUCAGAUCAGUCGGGUGUGAAAUCCCCGGGCUCAACCUGGGAAUGGCAUUCGAUACUGUCUGGCUAGAAUACGGGAGAGGGUUGCGGAAUUCCACGUGUAGCGGUGAAAUGCGUAGAUAUGUGGAGGAACAUCAGUGGCGAAGGCGGCAACCUGGCCCGAUAUUGACGCUGAGGUGCGAAAGCGUGGGUAGCAAACAGG